CAGCAGCCGCGGUAAUACGAAGGGGGCUAGCGUUGUUCGGAAUUACUGGGCGUAAAGGGCGCGUAGGCGGCCAUUCAAGUUAGACGUGAAAGCCCUGGGCUCAACCUAGGAAUUGCAUUUGAUACUGUUUGGCUUGAGUUCGGGAGAGGUGAGUGGAAUUCCCAGUGUAGAGGUGAAAUUCGUAGAUAUUGGGAAGAACACCAGUGGCGAAGGCGGCUCACUGGACCGACACUGACGCUGAGGCGCGAAAGCGUGGGGAGCAAACAGGAUUAGAGACCCCCGUAGUCCCUGUCUCUUAUAC
RNAcentral lists this ribosomal RNA (301 nucleotides) under uncultured bacterium. Its description in RNAcentral is "partial 16S ribosomal RNA". It matches the Rfam family "Bacterial small subunit ribosomal RNA", at positions 509 to 807 of the family's 1533-position model. The record is from RNAcentral.